This 467-nucleotide ribosomal RNA is filed under the name uncultured bacterium. RNAcentral describes it as "partial 16S ribosomal RNA". It matches the Rfam family "Bacterial small subunit ribosomal RNA", at positions 29 to 507 of the family's 1533-position model. The record is from RNAcentral.
ACGCACGCUGGCGGCGUGCUUAACACCUGCCAGUCGAACGGAAAGGCCCUGCUUUUGUGGGGUGCUCGAGUGGCGAACGGGUGAGUAACACGUGAGUAACCUGCCCUUGACUUUGGGAUAACUUCAGGAAACUGGGGCUAAUACCGGAUAGGAGCUCCUGCUGCAUGGUGGGGGUUGGAAAGUUUCGGCGGUUGGGGAUGGACUCGCGGCUUAUCAGCUUGUUGGUGGGGUAGUGGCUUACCAAGGCUUUGACGGGUAGCCGGCCUGAGAGGGUGACCGGCCACAUUGGGCCUGCGAUACGGCCCAGACUCCUACGGGAGGCAGCAGUGGGGAAUAUUGCACAAUGGGCGGAAGCCUGAUGCAGCAACGCCGCGUGCGGGAUGACGGCCUUCGGGUUGUAAACCGCUUUCGCCUGUGACGAAGCGUGAGUGACGGUAAUGGGUAAAGAAGCACCGGCUAACUACGUG